GUCGUCCUUGAAUGAUUCACUCAAAGACGUCCAAGAUAUGUCCUUACGACUAUCUGUUGAUGGAGAAAAGACAUCAUUGAAUGAAUCAUUUGAUGCAUCUGCAACUGCUGAUGCCGUACAAGACCAAGUUAAUCGGGUUUUAAGCAAAAUGAAGAGACCGGAGACAAGUAAACAGGAGUCUGAGGGUGAUAAAAAGGACAAUGUUCCUAGCAAAUAUCCUAUGUUACGGAGGCGGCGUAAAUUAAUUGUAAUUGCUCUAGAUUGCUAUGACACAAAUGGAGCUCCUCAAAAGAAAAUGAUUCAGAUUAUCCAGGAGAUUCUUAAGACCAUUAAGUCCG
RNAcentral lists this unclassified non-coding RNA (338 nucleotides) under Hevea brasiliensis (rubber tree). The record is from RNAcentral. Lineage: Eukaryota; Viridiplantae; Streptophyta; Magnoliopsida; Malpighiales; Euphorbiaceae.